AGUUGUCCUUAGGGCUGGGGGAUAAAACGAUAAUGAUAUAUAUCAAAAAUUAAUUUCCCUCAAUAUCAAUAUAAAUAUGGUCAAUAUGCUCUUUGAUAGUCAGCAUUCUGUCAUGUUUUGGUAGACGAUACGAAAAGCCAAUAAAAAGGGGAGUUGCUCCGAGUCCGCACAGCACUGAACCAAUCAUGCUGAAUUACACCCAAGUAGCAAACAACUGCUUGGUAGCAGGCUGCAGCUACACGCAACCAUAGCACUUUAACACGACAAAACUUACUCAACUUACGACAAAACGUGGAAGAGACACAGAGACCACACAGAUGCAGCAACUUAUUGUAUUGCAAAAGACAUGCUACCAAAAAGCAAUGUUAAAUGUCAUUUAAGAGUAACAGGGAACAUUUAAGAUUGACAAGUGAUUUUUUUGAUAUAUUGUAAUAUAUAUCAAUAUUGGCUGAUAUGAAAAAAUAUAUCAUGAUAAACGUUUUCCUAUAUCGCCCUGCCAUAGUUAUCCUACUGCUGCUCUGAUUUAUUAUUUGUGCCAACCACUUCACCUUGGAUUGCCUUGGAAGCCCACACUGAUGUGAACUCUUAUCUCUUAGUGACACAGAUCAUGUUAUCACUCCUGACGCACUCUGAUGUCAGUGACAUCAGCUACUAUGUUGGCUGAAUGUGUCACAUGUGCCAAAUCGAUAGGACCGAAUGAAUUCCCAGCCAAAGUCAACAGCAGCGUGGAAGAUUUUUGCCAACAGGUGAGCUGGAACUAAGCAAACAUUCAGCCCACACAACAAAACAAGCUGAGACCCUGAUAGCUGUAAACAGUCAUUCUGAUGCAGCGUGACUACUAUAGUUUUGAGCAACUACAGAGCUAGUUUUUUUAAGUUGGUAAAGCAGGUGUCAUUAAGGCGAAGAAGGCAAGGUCCUUCACUGACUGGUUGCUACUACAGCUCCUCUCAGUGAUCUCCUCAUCUGUCACAUUCAGUGAAGACAACGACCUAAAAAACUAUUUAAAAGUUUAUUAACAAAAAUUCAUAAAUGUGACUCAAAGGUGAACAAAUUCAAGUUUUGUUACUCAAGGUCACAGUCACUGUGACCUCAUGCAUUCAGCUCUCAUGUGCAUGGUGGAGAGUCAUGUGAUUUAUCAUUAUUUAUAAAUCUGUCUGAGAGAUGGAUCCCAUCAGUGAUCAAGGAAAUUCUGCCCAAUCACCAACCACCUGUUCAUCCGUCUGUUUCUAGAAAGGACAACCAACAAUCACAUGCUCUGGAGUAAAAUACACAAAGAGAGAGCGAGAGAGAGAGAGAGAGUUGCCCUGGUAUCAUGUCUAUAAAUGACUCAGUACGACCUCUCCUGGUCAAUCUAUGCCUACUCACGUGUAUCCUGUUUUAGGCUGUAAAAUAUUUCCCAUACCAACUGCCCCUCUACCAAAGCUAAACUGUCACCACUAUUUUAUGCCUCAUCAUCAUUGUUAUCACCCAACUGUGUACUUGAUUCUAAUGGUCAAAUCCCUAUAACACUGGUAAUUGACCUUACAAAAUUGAGGAGUUGGAGACAUAAGGCAAAUGGUUUUACAUGUUGGUAAAUGCAUUUGCUCCACUUAAACUGGAUUUUUGGGGCUGACUUGACUUCAUUUUCAUCAUCACCAGGCAGCUUCGUUGAUGCUAUGAAACUUUUUACAGAUUCACACAUUGCAAGUUCACUGAUAUAGUAUUACAAUUAUUGUCCACAUACAGCGACAAGAUGCUGUCCUGCAAUCCAGGCAACAGCAGCAGAGCUGGUUGGUGCAUAUUGAAGUAGCUGAUAGCCACAAAGUAACUUUAACCACAAUAGGUAGUGAUAAGACCCAUAAUAAUCACAAAAUCAGUGCUCAUUAGCAUCAACAGCAUCAGUCGCAAAAGUUCACUGGAUAAAUGAAUAAGGAAAUUAGUCAUUCCAAGUGUUCCUAUACGUAUUUAGCUGUACAAAAUAAGAAACAAAUCGAUAAAAUAAUGUUUAAAUCAAUAUUUUGUGUCAAGUUGUUGAUGUCUUAAGCUGAUAAAAAACAUGUAAAAAGCAGGAUCAUGCUUUGAAAAAAGGGGAUAUGCAAGUCGUAACCUCCUAAGAGAAACCAUACAUUUGUCAUGGUGAGCGAACCAGGUGUUUCCUCCACUCUGCAUAGCUACCUGCUCAUUUACUCUUUACAUUUAUGGCCUUUUAUUGUUUGGAGUUUUUUCCACUUACUCCUAAAGUUAAGAUAGUUAUGUCUAACAGGCUGCAGUCUGUGCAUACUUAAUAGAUGCAUGUAUCCACAUGUCUUCAGGGUGUUGGAGGGUGUUUCUAUUUUAAAUUACAACACCUGCACACAUGCAACCACCUGUGUAUCUCUCUUCAAAUGAAAGAACAAUGUAACAAGCAAGAUUUAGCCUGUAAAGGGUGUUUCUAGGUCUGUGCCAACAAGGUACUGCUCAGUUUACACAUGUUCUUUAGUCAGCCUCUAGUUUAAAAUGCUCAAUUGUUACCAAACAGGAGCUCUCUGUUUAGGUUUGGAAAUAUAGUUGCCAUGGGAAAAAAACACACUACAGUGACUGAGCCAUAAUCUAGUCUACUCUAAAUACAGUUUAUUCACAAAUGGUGGCUGUUUACACUCACAAGUGCAUGUUUUAGCCAUCAUAACUUAAUCUGUUAAUGAGUCUGUUAAUCUAGAGGCCUGAAUUUAACACAUCUUAAAUCCUUGUUCUGAUUACACACACACACACACACACACACACAGUCUAAUCGGUGUGAACAGUUAUGCAGAGGUGUGUCCCAAACAGAAGCCUAUUGUA
Molecule: long non-coding RNA, 2796 nt
Filed under: Xyrichtys novacula (pearly razorfish)
Lineage: Eukaryota; Metazoa; Chordata; Actinopteri; Labriformes; Labridae
Source: RNAcentral